RNAcentral lists this transfer RNA (92 nucleotides) under Planctomycetota bacterium. Its description in RNAcentral is "Planctomycetes bacterium (sediment metagenome) tRNA-Ser". It matches the Rfam family "tRNA". From Rfam's summary of the family: Transfer RNA (tRNA) molecules are approximately 80 nucleotides in length. Their secondary structure includes four short double-helical elements and three loops (D, anti-codon, and T loops). The record is from RNAcentral. Lineage: Bacteria; Pseudomonadati; Planctomycetota.
GGAGAGGUGCCGGAGCGGCCGAACGGGCACGAUUGGAAAUCGUGUGCCCUGGGCAACCGGGGCCGAGGGUUCGAAUCCCUCCCUCUCCGCCA